RNAcentral lists this small nucleolar RNA (60 nucleotides) under Choloepus hoffmanni (Hoffmann's two-fingered sloth). Its description in RNAcentral is "Small nucleolar RNA U18 (ENSCHOG00000016030.1)". The record is from RNAcentral. Lineage: Eukaryota; Metazoa; Chordata; Mammalia; Pilosa; Megalonychidae.
UUCCUGAUGAAAUUAAUUUUAUGAAUUUUAGGCUGUAUUGGCAGAAAAUUACUGAGCCAU